RNAcentral lists this ribosomal RNA (497 nucleotides) under uncultured bacterium. Its description in RNAcentral is "partial 16S ribosomal RNA". It matches the Rfam family "Bacterial small subunit ribosomal RNA", at positions 28 to 507 of the family's 1533-position model. The record is from RNAcentral.
GAUGAACGCUGGCGGCGUGCCUAAUACAUGCAAGUCGAGCGAACGGACGAGGAGCUUGCUUUUCUGAUGUUAGCGGCGGACGGGUGAGUAACACGUGGAUAACCUACCUAUAAGACUGGGAAAACUUCGGGAAACCGGCGAUAAUACCGGAUAAUAUUUUGAACCGCAUGGUUCAAAAGUGAAAGACGGUCUUGCUGUCACUUAUAGAUGGAUCCGCGCUGCAUUAGCUAGUUGGUAAGGUAACGGCUUACCAAGGCAACGCUGCAUAGCCGACCUGGGAGGAUGAUAGGCCACACGGGAGCUGAGACACGGUCCAGACUCCUACGGGAGGCAGCAGUAGGCAAUCUGCCGCAAUGGGCGAAAACCUUACGGAGCAACGCGACGCGAGAGAUGAAGGUGUUCGGAGCGUAAAACUCUGUUAUUAGGGAAAAACAUAUGUGUAAGGAACUGUGCACAUCUUGACGGUACCUAAUCAGAAAGCCACGGCUAACUACGUG